This 396-nucleotide ribosomal RNA is filed under the name uncultured bacterium. Its description in RNAcentral is "bacterial SSU rRNA". It matches the Rfam family "Bacterial small subunit ribosomal RNA", at positions 30 to 412 of the family's 1533-position model. The record is from RNAcentral.
AGUGAACGCUGGCGGCAGGCCUAACACAUGCAAGUCGAGCGGCAGCGCGUCCGACCACCCUCGGGUGGUCGGAUGGCGGCGAGCGGCGGACGGGUGAGGAAUGCAUCGGAAUCUGCCUCGUUGUGGGGGAUAACGUAGGGAAACUUACGCUAAUACCGCAUACGACCUACGGGUGAAAGUGGGGGACCUUCGGGCCUCACGCGAUGAGAUGAGCCGAUGCCGGAUUAGCUAGUUGGCGGGGUAAAGGCCCACCAAGGCGACGAUCCGUAGCUGGUCUGAGAGGAUGAUCAGCCACACUGGAACUGAGACACGGUCCAGACUCCUACGGGAGGCAGCAGUGGGGAAUAUUGGACAAUGGGGGCAACCCUGAUCCAGCAAUGCCGCGUGUGUGAAGAA